AUAUAUAAUUAUGUGUGUAUGUAUUAAUUGUAUAGUCUUUACUCUUUAGUCUCUCAUCUUCAUCUCUCCUUGCUCACUUUUUUCAAACCCACAACCAAUUUUCCUCUGUUUCCCUUCAAUUUCAACACUCCUUUUCAAAAUUCACAAUUCCAAAUUACCAUUUCGAUCACUUUAGCCUUCAAAAGCCUUUGUUAGCUGCAGAGAUUCAUACCUCUUUCUUCUUCCUCCUCCUUCAACAACCUUCCACAAUUUUCACCUCCAAUUUCCUCAAUUUGACUUACUGGGUUGAUCAAGAACAAGGGGAAACCCUAGAAUUUCGGCACGGCUUCCUCCAAUGUGGAGAUGGCAUCCACGUCCAAGACCAAUCCGGAUCUCCCGCGUGAGUCCUCUGUUUGUUCUAUCUCCACAAUUAUCGCUGAUCUACACCAUACUGAUCCCUCCAGGAAUUUGGCUUCCAUGAGCAUGGAUGACCUGCUUAAGAACAUCUAUUCCGAUGCUCAAACUCACAAUCAAGUGCAGGAUGAAAACCCCAUUAUUGGGUCGUCGAUCUCGCCUCAAGAGAACUUUCCGCUACCUAAGGAAUUGAGCACCAGGACUGUGGAGGAGGUUUGGAAGGAGAUCGUUGCUGGGGGUGAUCAGAGGCGGGAGCCUACUACGGAUCAGGAAAUAACUCUUGAAGAUUUUCUGUCUAAGGCUGGGGCUGUUUGUGAUGAGGACGUGAGGGUUCCUGUCAUCUCUGAACCUGGGGGUUAUGGUGUGGACUCCACGCUUAAUAAUCAGAUUCAGAUUCCGUCGCAGCAGUUGGAAGGUCCCAUCGUGGGAGGAUAUGCGAGUGGAAUCGAUGGGAGAAUCGUUGGAGUUGGAAGAGGAAAAAGAAGGGCUAUUGAGGAGCCGGUUGACAAAGCCACUCAGCAAAAACAGAGACGGAUGAUCAAGAAUAGGGAAUCCGCUGCUCGUUCUCGGGAACGCAAGCAGGCAUAUACGCUAGAGCUAGAGUCUCUCGUGACCCAACUGGAGCAGGAAAAUGCAAGGCUAUUGAGAGAAGAGGAUUUCUGUAUGUGUCGAGUCUAAAUCAUCAUCCAUUCAGAAGUUCUGAGGAAUCAAAUUCUAAAAUGCAGGCUGAGCACAUCAAGGAACGGUCUAAGCAGCUCAAGAAGAAACUCAUUCCAAUCAUCGAGAAGCGACGACCACAGCGCAUUCUUAGAAGAGUGAAUUCUUUAUAGUGGUGGUAGUGUAUUAUUCUCUGGAGGGGGGGUAAGGGAUGAGCGUUUUUACUUACAGUUGUUAAUAAUAUAAAACUGGGUUGCCUGCCUGCUAAUAAAGGUAUAUAACCAAGUUAGUCAUGUCAUAGAGAGAUAUUUGGGGAAUAAAGACACAAAAACUGCCCACCAAGUAAAUACAGAAAGUAGUUGACAACGUGCCAAGUAUGAACUCGUCAUUUACAGUUACUGAAACUUUUGAACCUGAUGUCGAAAAUAGGUGGUCGAUGAUGCUGAAGAUUUGAGCGUCACUGCAUUGCACUCCACUUGUGGCUCUACUAACUGUUCGUGUUGCGUCUGGUUUUAUCAUCGUGUGUUGAAGAAAAGGAAAAAAAAGGAUAAGUAUAGAUAGAAGAAGUUAUCUCAUAAUAUAUGGCUUUGGUUUUCCUUUCUGGUGACAAGAGGGGUUGGGGUGGUGGUGAUUAAUCUGAAUUUCUUUUACUAAUAUAAUUUGUUUUUAUGUAUGUUACUGCAUCCAAGAGCUUUCCAUAUUUGCUCUAUUUGUGAAUGCCUUACAAAUUCCUUUCCUUAUAAAUAAUGAGG
Benincasa hispida (wax gourd) is the source of this 1802-nucleotide RNA transcript. It is a transcript of the gene named bZIP transcription factor 12-like, with no coding region annotated. The record is from RefSeq and is a predicted model, not a curated record. NCBI's taxonomy places the organism in Eukaryota, Viridiplantae, Streptophyta, Magnoliopsida, Cucurbitales, Cucurbitaceae.